GGUCGAGUCGGCCUGCGCGGAAGAUGUAACGGGGCUAAACCAUGCACCGAAGCUGCGGCAGCGAACGUAUCACCCAAGACAACUUUACGGAGUUGACGAUUGACGGAGCGAAGCGACGUCAAAGCGUAUACAAAGUCGAGUCGGUUUAAGGAUACGUUCGUUGGGUAGGGGAGCGUUCUGUAAGCCCGUGAAGGUGGCCUGUGAGGGUUGCUGGAGGUAUCAGAAGUGCGAAUGCUGACAUAAGUAACGAUAAAGCGGGUGAAAAGCCCGCUCGCCGGAAGACCAAGGGUUCCUGUCCAACGUUAAUCGGGGCAGGGUGAGUCG
RNAcentral lists this ribosomal RNA (324 nucleotides) under Salmonella enterica subsp. enterica serovar 1,4,[5],12:i:-. RNAcentral describes it as "partial 23S ribosomal RNA". It matches the Rfam family "Bacterial large subunit ribosomal RNA", at positions 1147 to 1386 of the family's 2925-position model. Lineage: Bacteria; Pseudomonadati; Pseudomonadota; Gammaproteobacteria; Enterobacterales; Enterobacteriaceae. The record is from RNAcentral.